GUGAGGAAUAUUGGUCAAUGGGCGAGAGCCUGAACCAGCCAAAUCGCGUGAAGGAUGAAGGUAUUAUGUAUUGUAAACUUCUUUUAUCGGGGAAUAAAGUGCACCACGUGUGGUGUUUUGUAUGUACCCGAAGAAUAAGGAUCGGCUAACUCCGUGCCAGCAGCCGCGGUAAUACGGAGGAUCCAAGCGUUAUCCGGAUUUAUUGGGUUUAAAGGGUGCGUAGGCGGACUGUCAAGUCAGCGGUGAAAGUCCAUGGCUCAACCAUGGAAUUGCCGUUGAAACUGUCGGUCUUGAGUGUAGAUGAGGUAGGCGGAAUUCGUAGUGUAGCGGUGAAAUGCUUAGAUAUUACGAAGAACUCCAAUUGCGUAGGCAGCUUACCAGGCUACAACUGACGCUGAGGCACGAAGGUGCGGGGAUCAAACAGGAUUAGAAACCCUGGUAGUCC
This 445-nucleotide ribosomal RNA is filed under the name uncultured bacterium. RNAcentral's name for it is "partial 16S ribosomal RNA". It matches the Rfam family "Bacterial small subunit ribosomal RNA", at positions 354 to 796 of the family's 1533-position model. The record is from RNAcentral.